RNAcentral lists this unclassified non-coding RNA (289 nucleotides) under uncultured fungus. RNAcentral's name for it is "partial contains small subunit ribosomal RNA, internal transcribed spacer 1, and 5.8S ribosomal RNA". The stretch from base 1 to 73 matches the Rfam family "Eukaryotic small subunit ribosomal RNA", at positions 1759 to 1831 of the family's 1831-position model. Lineage: Eukaryota; Fungi. The record is from RNAcentral.
ACAAACUUGGUCAUUUAGAGGAAGUAAAAGUCGUAACAAGGUCUCCGUUGGUGAACCAGCGGAGGGAUCAUUACAGAGUGUAAAAACUCCCUAAACCACUGUUUAUCUACUCGAAAACAGCGUCUUGCUUCGGCGGGCGGCCCCUGGGAGGAGCCUGUAGCCGUUCGCGGCGCCCGCCGGAAGAGACCAAAACUCUGAAAUCAGUGUACCUCUGAGCAGACACAAAAAAAAAAUAAUCAAAACUUUCAACAACGGAUCUCUUGGUUCUGGCAUCGAUGAAGAACGCAGC